Molecule: non-coding RNA, 72 nt
Organism: Coemansia sp. RSA 2711
Lineage: Eukaryota; Fungi; Kickxellomycota; Kickxellomycetes; Kickxellales; Kickxellaceae
Source: the annotation of a GenBank genome assembly
UCCGCAAUGGUCCAACGGCUAGGAUUCCACGCUUUCACCGUGGCGGUCGGGGUUCGAUUCCCCGUUGCGGAA